UACGUAGGUGGCAAGCGUUGUCCGGAAUUAUUGGGCGUAAAGCGCGCGCAGGCGGUCCUUUAAGUCUGAUGUGAAAGCCCACGGCUCAACCGUGGAGGGUCAUUGGAAACUGGGGGACUUGAGUACAGAAGAGGAAAGCGGAAUUCCACGUGUAGCGGUGAAAUGCGUAGAGAUGUGGAGGAACACCAGUGGCGAAGGCGGGAUCCUGGGCCAGUACUGACGCUGAGGAGCGAAAGCGUGGGGAGCAAACAGG
RNAcentral lists this ribosomal RNA (253 nucleotides) under uncultured bacterium. RNAcentral describes it as "partial 16S ribosomal RNA". It matches the Rfam family "Bacterial small subunit ribosomal RNA", at positions 524 to 776 of the family's 1533-position model. The record is from RNAcentral.